This 277-nucleotide ribosomal RNA is filed under the name uncultured bacterium. Its description in RNAcentral is "partial 16S ribosomal RNA". It matches the Rfam family "Bacterial small subunit ribosomal RNA", at positions 78 to 353 of the family's 1533-position model. The record is from RNAcentral.
GCAAACUGGAGAUGGCGACCGGCGCACGGGUGGAGUAACACGUAUCCAACCUGCCGAUAACUCGGGGAUAGCCUUUCGAAAGAAAGAUUAAUACCCGAUGGCAUAAUAGAACCGCAUGGUUUGAUUAUUAAAGAAUUUCGGUUAUCGAUGGGGAUGCGUUCCAUUAGGCAGUUGGUGGGGUAACGGCCCACCAAACCUUCGAUGGAUAGGGGUUCUGAGAGGAAGGUCCCCACAUUGGAACUGAGACACGGUCCAAACUCCUACGGGAGGCAGCAUG